Molecule: long non-coding RNA, 443 nt
Organism: Bos taurus (domestic cattle)
Lineage: Eukaryota; Metazoa; Chordata; Mammalia; Artiodactyla; Bovidae
Source: Ensembl
GCGGAGAUGCUGAGCUCAGCGCUACGGCCGUUGGGCUGCUGGGUGGGGGCAGGGCGAGGGGCCGGCCCCUCUCUCGCCUCCGGCAGGAACCAACCACAGUGAACCAGCCAUGGUGGCAUCUUGAUCUUGGGCUUCUGGACUUCAAAACUAUGAGUUUACAGGCUCAGCUCCAGCCACACCAGAUGACUUUCGGAGUUCCACGAAUGCAGCCCUGCCUAUGCGCGUGCUAGUCCCUGUACUUGGAAUGCUUCUCUGGCAUCUUCCCCUCUGACCCCGACUGACCAGUCCGCUCAGGCCCAGGCUCACCUUCCCUAGGAAAAUGUCAUCUCCCCUUCCUUCCCACCACCAAGCCCUCUUGGCUUCCACAGCACCCCGUAUAGACCAGAGUCAUGGAGUUAUGGUGCUGUACAGAUUCCGUGUUUCUGUUGACUUCUCUGCUUUUU